Molecule: small nuclear RNA, 102 nt
Organism: Lepus europaeus (European hare)
Lineage: Eukaryota; Metazoa; Chordata; Mammalia; Lagomorpha; Leporidae
Source: RefSeq, a predicted model, not a curated record
CUGAAAAUAGUACCACAUAUACUAAAAUUGGAAUGAUACAGAGAAGAUUAGCAUGGUCCCUGUGCAAAAAUGACGCAGAUUCAUGAAGUGUUCCAUUAAAAA